UGGUGAGUUCUAGAAGGGCAAGUACAUUUUCUGGUUUCUCUUCAAGUUAGCCUUCUCUCUUCAAUUCUCUUCAACCUUGCUUCUUUUACGCUUCUUCUUAUGGAUCUAUAGUAAACAAUUCUCCGUAGUCCAGGCUUGAGUUACAACACAAGAAUCAAAAAAUAAAACUGCAUAAGAAAUCAAGAAAUCAUCCAGUUUCGCAAACCCUAGAACGACUUCCACAAAUGGGUUUUCUUCAAAUCGUAUAGAGGGCUUUGAAGUUGCAGCGAUUUACAGAGGUAGGAGGUUUAGGGUUCUUCAGAUGAAAUUGCAUGUUCAAGGAGAUGGCCGGUGGCUACACUGGUGCUGUGUUUAUUAACAUUUCAUGAACAAACUCCGACAAGAAAGCAUAGCACUUAAGCAUAACCAAGACAUGUAAAGAGACAGCAACAACCUUUUAGCAAACUUCAAAGCCUAUGCCUGAAGUGGAUAAAAGUAAGACUAACAAACGGUUUUUGCUAAAGUACAAGAAUACAAGUCCUAAGGUACAGUAAUAAUAGGACUUGCCUCCUACGGGGAAAACUAGACAAGAAGGCCUUUUGUAACAACUUUAAUGCCAACUAACGAUUGUAAUAUAACCCCAUUUUGUACCUAUUAGGUGGAAAACAAGAUAACAAGAUGGCCUUUUGUUACAACUUUAAUGCCGACUAAUGAAUGUAAUAUAACCUCAGUUUGUAGUUGUCUCACUAAAAAUCAUAUAAACACCGUAAAAAACCAUAAUUCCGCCGGGCU
Molecule: long non-coding RNA, 771 nt
Filed under: Helianthus annuus (common sunflower)
Lineage: Eukaryota; Viridiplantae; Streptophyta; Magnoliopsida; Asterales; Asteraceae
Description: hypothetical non coding rna
Source: RNAcentral